GGUGCUGAGAAUCAAACCCAAGGCCUCACACAUGCUAGGCAAGUGCUUUACCACUCUAAUAAUAAUUUUUAACUUUACUAUUGAUACUUUAAAAAAACUCUGUGGACCUGUUUUUUUUUGUUUUGUUGCGUAUCUCCUUUUAUCACAGUGUAAAAAUGGGAAUGUUUGAUUGUUUUCCUUAGAAAAGGACCACAUAGUCUUGUUUGUAUCCUCAGUUGUUGCAUAACACAUGGCAGCACAUUUUCCAUUCUCUAACUUCAUCAAGGAACAUUUAAUGCCUGUGAAUUCCAGCUGUCUUGUAAUGCACAACUGCAGGCAGCAAAUUGUGGACCCAGGCAGGCCACAGAGCAGGUGGACCUGGUAUACAGAGCCCUUAGAAUUUGCAGCUGUCAGCUGGAGUCUGCCAGAGGGUUCCCAUAGCACCUAUUCUUGUGAGAAUCUCACUGAAAGACUGGAAUGUUCAGAAAAUAUGCUGCGAACACCAAACAAAGUAAAUAAAUGGCCAGUUGGCUCUCAGAAUUGCCCAAAUCCUGUUCUGCCCUUCUAAUUGAUCUUGUGACAGGAUAACAUUUUAAAAACACAUCAACAAAGCAAUCCUAGAUAUCUCUCUAUACAUGAAUAUACAUAUGUGAAUGAAUUUUUAUAAUCUUUGAGAAAGAUAUACACCAAACAGUAUAGUGUUCACCCUUAAGGAGGAACUGGGGAUGGAGAGAGUGGUAAAGAAGAGCUUUGACUAGGGAUUUAGUAUUUGAGUUUAUAUAAAAAUAUA
Molecule: long non-coding RNA, 769 nt
Filed under: Marmota monax (woodchuck)
Lineage: Eukaryota; Metazoa; Chordata; Mammalia; Rodentia; Sciuridae
Source: RNAcentral